This 450-nucleotide ribosomal RNA is filed under the name uncultured bacterium. RNAcentral describes it as "bacterial SSU rRNA". It matches the Rfam family "Bacterial small subunit ribosomal RNA", at positions 29 to 526 of the family's 1533-position model. The record is from RNAcentral.
AACGAACGCUGGCGGCAGGCCUAACACAUGCAAGUCGAACGGUCCUUCGGGAUAGUGGCGCACGGGUGAGUAACGCGUGGGAAUAUACCCUUGACUGCGGAAUAAUAUUUGGAAACGAAUACUAAUACCGCAUAAUGACUCCGGUCCAAAGAUUUAUCGGUCAAGGAUUAGCCCGCGUUAGAUUAGAUAGUUGGUGAGGUAACGGCUCACCAAGUCGACGAUCUAUAGCUGGUCUGAGAGGAUGAUCAGCCACACUGGAACUGAGACACGGUCCAGACUCCUACGGGAGGCAGCAGUGAGGAAUAUUGGACAAUGGGGGCAACCCUGAUCCAGCCAUGCCGCGUGAGUGAAGAAGGCCUUAGGGUUGUAAAGCUCUUUCAAACGUGAAGAUAAUGACGGUAGCGUUAGAAGAAGCCCCGGCUAAAUUCGUGCCAGCCGCCGCCGUAACAC